AUGUCCAGUUCUAACUGUUGCUUCCUGACCUGCAUACAGAUUUCUCAAGAUUUCUCAAGAGGCAUACAGAUUUCUCAAGAGGCAGGUCAGGUGGUCUGGUAUUCCCAUCUCUUUCAGAAUUUUCCACAGUUUAUUGUGAUCCACACAGUCAAAGGCUUUGGCAUAGUCAAUAAAGCAGAAAUAGAUGUUUUUCUGGAACUCUCUUGCUUUUUCCAUGAUCCAGCGGAUGUUGGCAAUUUGAUCUCUGGUUCCUCUGCCUUUUCUAAAACCAGCUUGAACAUCAGGGAGUUCACGGUUCACGUAUUGCUGAAGCCUGGCUUGGAGAAUUUUGAGCAUUACUUUACUAGCAUGUGAGAAGAGUGCCAUUGUGUGGUAGUUUGAGCAUUCUUUGGCA
RNAcentral lists this long non-coding RNA (394 nucleotides) under Ovis aries (sheep). Its description in RNAcentral is "lncRNA (ENSOARG00000025958.1)". The record is from RNAcentral. Lineage: Eukaryota; Metazoa; Chordata; Mammalia; Artiodactyla; Bovidae.